GUGGGGAAUCUUAGACAAUGGUGGAAACCCUGAUCUAGCCAUGCCGCGUGAGCGAUGAAGGCCUUAGGGUUGUAAAGCUCUUUCAGCUGGGAAGAUAAUGACGGUACCAGCAGAAGAAGCCCCGGCUAACUCCGUGCCAGCAGCCGCGGUAAUACGGAGGGGGCUAGCGUUGUUCGGAAUUACUGGGCGUAAAGCGCACGUAGGCGGAUCAGAAAGUCAGAGGUGAAAUCCCAGGGCUCAACCUUGGAACUGCCUUUGAAACUCCUCGUCUUGAGGUCGAGAGAGGUGAGUGGAAGUCCGUGUGUAGAAGUAAAGUACGUUGAUAUUCGGAAGAACACCAGUGGCGAAGGCGGCUCACUGGCUCGAUACUGACGCUGAGGUGCGAAAGCGUGGGGAGCAAACAGGAUUAGAUACCCGUGUAGUCC
Molecule: ribosomal RNA, 425 nt
Filed under: uncultured bacterium
Lineage: Bacteria
Description: partial 16S ribosomal RNA
Rfam family: Bacterial small subunit ribosomal RNA
Source: RNAcentral